AAUUUCUUCACUUUUGUUUCAGGCCAACACAAUCACCACGGCCCUUCAAGAUGGCCAUGACGUGAAUCAUCAAGAAGAAGCUGUUGACGCGGCGGCCGCGUCGGAUGGGUGUCCCGUCUGUACCUCUUCUGAGGGAGAGCCGCGCAGGAGUAUAUGCUUCAGCAUUUCAUCACGCUACGCAAACUCUUCCUUACGUUCCUCUUGCCAGCUGUGGACGCAGCGCGCUAGCCUCGCUGAGCCCAUUGGGUACCACUGAGCCCCACGUGACAGAGGGCACAACAGCGCCGACCGGCUCCUCGGUGGCUGUGAAUCAGAGCAGCAGCGCAUUCAACAGACGGCAGGUUCGGUUCCUCGUGGUGAACAUGGCUUUGUGCCACUUCUCUCUUCCCACGGGGGAGGCCUCCAAGGACGAUGUCGAAUCUCCAGUGGGGGGCCUGCGGCAUCGCCGGUAAGGAACUGCACAACUUCCCCUUCGACGAUGAAGCCUUUUCGAGCCGCCUGCCGCGUGCCACGGAGCGUAUGGCGGCGGGCUGUGCUCCUGUUUUGACGGCCGCGCAUCUUUUAUGGCUUUCUCGAAGACCUCGAGGACACAUCGACGGGGCGCGACAGCGACGAGGACGACGGGGCAGCUUGCAGCCACUUUUUGUGGCGCGCGUUCAUGCGGCACUGUUGUGCAUUGGCCGCCGCGUAGGUAUCGCGGUAGGACGCGGUGGCCGAAGAAGGUGGGAGUGGGGUCAGGCAGAGAGCCUGCGGUGCCUUUUCGUCGGUGCUGCUGGACGGCAGCCUCCCUCCCCUCGCGCGCGCGCAGUUGCACCCACGCUACCUCUGCUUUUCUCAUGCUCCCCUUGUUCCGCGCGUGUGUUUGUUGCCGCUGUGCGUUUUGCAGUGCAGCGAGUACGCCGCGCUCGCCACUGUUUGCCCGUGAAGGGCGGCUGUGAGAAAUUGGGAUGCACGAGCUAAGAAGGCAGCGCAAGAAGGCAGACACGUGCAGCGCAACACAGCGCUUCAUACUAACGGCAGAAGGUAUGACGAGCACGGCCAACGCUUGGGGUGAGGGGGGUGGGCAGCGGAAGAGAAGCUCUGCGUGUCUCUGCGCGUUACAUACCUGUGCAU
Molecule: unclassified non-coding RNA, 1113 nt
Filed under: Leishmania donovani
Lineage: Eukaryota; Euglenozoa; Kinetoplastea; Trypanosomatida; Trypanosomatidae
Description: gene:unknown
Source: RNAcentral